This 253-nucleotide ribosomal RNA is filed under the name uncultured bacterium. RNAcentral describes it as "partial 16S ribosomal RNA". It matches the Rfam family "Bacterial small subunit ribosomal RNA", at positions 333 to 583 of the family's 1533-position model. The record is from RNAcentral.
GGAGUCCUACGGGGCGCAGCAGUGAGGAAUAUUGGUCAAUGGGAGAGAUCCUGAACCAGCCAAGCCGCGUGAGGGAAGACGGCCCUAUGGGUUGUAAACCUCUUUUGUCGGAGAACGAAACCCGGGACGUGUCCCGGACUGCGUGUAUCCGAAGAAAAAGCAUCGGCUAACUCCGUGCCAGCAGCCGCGGUAAUACGGAGGAUGCGAGCGUUAUCCGGAUUUAUUGGGUUUAAAGGGUGCGUAGGCGGUCUGU